Molecule: small RNA, 84 nt
Filed under: Sinorhizobium meliloti 2011
Lineage: Bacteria; Pseudomonadati; Pseudomonadota; Alphaproteobacteria; Hyphomicrobiales; Rhizobiaceae
Description: putative ncRNA
Source: RNAcentral
GUGUCGAAGGAACUGCGCACGAGCUGACCUUCGAUCGACUCGGAACCGAUGAUGCGCAUGCUGAUCAUCGGCUGCAGCAUGGAU